This is a long non-coding RNA of Meleagris gallopavo (turkey), 1992 nucleotides long. The record is from Ensembl. Lineage: Eukaryota; Metazoa; Chordata; Aves; Galliformes; Phasianidae.
AUACGGGAUGAAGGGGCAUCUCAUAGCAAAUGGAUGAAGGCCUCUCUCCUCUGGGACAAAGCCAGUGCCAACCGCCUGACCAACUCAGCAGGAACCGCGGGCUGUGGGAGAUUGCAGCGCCUUCAGCGAUGGAGCAGCGCAGGAUGCUGGGCUCGGAUCCCAAAGCAAACCUGCGUGAACGGAAACGUGAGCUCCUCAGCACACGCAGCGUAGUUUACUCAGCCAGGCUGGUUGUACGUGUGAGUGGACGGACGCUUCGAAGGAGGUGGAAGCUCUGCAGCUCUGACAGAUGGCCCAGGAACCCUUACUGUCGUAAUCAAAGCUAUGACACUUCAUCGCUGGCAAUCUGUCAGGCUUCCCCAGCCUCCUUUCUGAUCUUCGCCUCAGCGAGCAGCUUUCUACCUCAGAGUCUUUUGAAGAUUGAAAAGGCAAAGAAGUUCUCUGCCUUUGCUCCUGCCUCCACCUGCCCUCAGCACGCAGCCAGGAGAUGAGGGGCACUCAGGAGCACGAUGGGAGCCCUUCGUAUCUCCUCAGCUCCUGACCUUCCAGCUCUGCAGAGACAUUUCAUAUCUCAGUGACAGCCUGCGGCCCCCACAGCCCCCCCGAUUCAGCCCGAAGGCCCACUGCCUCUCUUCCCCCCCACGCACACAGAUGGGCGCGCUGGGCACCAGCACUGCUGUCCCAACAGCGGAUUCAUCGCCCGGCCCGCAAUUGGUCUGUCAGCACCGCGUGUUUAUUUUGAGAGUGCCGGCCCGGGCGCUCGGUGGUUUCCACAGGAGGAAGAAAUGUUUCCCGAGGAGGGCCCUGGCACGCGCUGCCCCGAGGAGCGGCGCACACCCAUGUGUGGAAUCAGACUCUGUGACCACAAAGCAGUUAUAAAAGCAGGCAUGUUUAAUCAGGGCUGCGACGCCGGGUGCAAGGGGGAGAGCUGCUCCUAAGUGGCACAGCGUCAGGAAGAAGCGUGCUGAGCUCGAGGCCGAACUGAGAGGUGAUCAGUAGUUUCCAGGGAUUGGGAUCCACGUUCCUUACAUUCCGAGAAGCCAUCAGCACGCGGCCCCCCCUCGCGCGUGCACAGUGAGCGGUGAGGGUCUCCUCCUGGUGGUCGUGGGAUGAAGAAUCCUCAUCUUCCUCGCGAAGGCUCGCAGUCUUUCUCCCUGUUCGCUUUGGACCCUGCGGGAGGGGCAGCCCCCCCAGCCCCGUUUCAGCUCGCCCUGCGGACAUCGAAUCGCCUCACUGCCCGGCGUCCUCAGGCCGUUCUCAAACCCUUCUGGUUACGGCCUUCAGCCCCUCGUUAUCCCAGACCCAGUGUCUGCCAUCCCUUAUUUUUCUAACAUUCUUGCUUCUAUAAACUAACAACCCCUCCCUUUCCCCCUCCCCCAGUCGUACGUCCCCAUGAAACCUUUUCCUCACGUUUUUACUACGGGGCCCUUCUCACUCUCCAGCACCGGCCCGCACAGCCGUACCGCACAAGCGCGCAGCAGGCGCGGGCUGCUGCCUCCUGCACGCCCCGCCCCCGCCUCUCCUAUUGGCCGGCCGUGCCCGUUCGGUCAUCUCGUUGGCUGGCGCCGCCGCCUGUUAUAUGCACGGCCCGCCUCCGCGCCUUCUUCCGGGAGUGUCCCGUCCGCCCCUUCGUGUCUGCGGAGCCAAUUGGCUGCCCUGAUUGUCACUUACAGCUUGGGCGGAGGGCCGAUUGGACGAACGAGGUCAGGCGGGUUGCCCGCUCUGCGCGUGCGCGGUCCGAGCGAGGGCGGGUCCGGGUAACGGGCGCGCGGAGUCGUGACGUCACUGGACGCGACGCGCAGCGGCCGGGGUGAGCGUCACGUGAUCCGGGGAGCCGGCGGUUCGGGGCCGAGGAAACGCGGCUGCUCGCGGUGCUGGGCGGUGGGACUGGCGCGUUCUUGGGGCGCGGGGGUCGCGUAGGGCUGGGAAGGGAAUCCGAGGCGUCCUCCUGGAGCUGCGGGUGCCGGGCCGCGUUCUGGGGCCCCGUGGGGC